RNAcentral lists this ribosomal RNA (502 nucleotides) under uncultured bacterium. RNAcentral's name for it is "bacterial SSU rRNA". It matches the Rfam family "Bacterial small subunit ribosomal RNA", at positions 336 to 852 of the family's 1533-position model. The record is from RNAcentral.
CUCCUACGGGAGGCAGCAGUGGGGAAUAUUGCGCAAUGGGCGAAAGCCUGACGCAGCGACGCCGCGUGGGGGAUGAAGGCCUUCGGGUUGUAAACCUCUUUCAGCAGGGACGAAUUCAGACGGUACCUGCAGAAGAAGCACCGGCCAACUACGUGCCAGCAGCCGCGGUAAUACGUAGGGUGCAAGCGUUGUCCGGAAUUAUUGGGCGUAAAGAGCUCGUAGGCGGUCUGUCGCGUCGGCUGUGAAAACUUGGGGCUCAACCCCAAGCCUGCAGUCGAUACGGGCAGACUAGAGUGCGGUAGGGGAGACUGGAAUUCCUGGUGUAGCGGUGAAAUGCGCAGAUAUCAGGAGGAACACCGGUGGCGAAGGCGGGUCUCUGGGCCGUAACUGACGCUGAGGAGCGAAAGCGUGGGGAGCGAACAGGAUUAGAUACCCUGGUAGUCCACGCCGUAAACGGUGGGUGCUAGGUGUAGGCGGUAUUCCACGCCGUCUGUGCCGCAGC